AUUGAACGCUGGCGGAAUGCUUUACACAUGCAAGUCGAACGGCAGCACGGGGGCAACCCUGGUGGCGAGUGGCGAACGGGUGAGUAAUACAUUGGAACGUGCCCGGUCGUGGGGGAUAACGUAGCGAAAGUUACGCUAAUACCGCAUACGAUCUGAGGAUGAAAGCGGGGGACCUUCGGGCCUCGCGCGAUCGGAGCGGCCGAUGUCAGAUUAGGUAGUUGGUGGGGUAAAGGCCUACCAAGCCGACGAUCUGUAGCUGGUCUGAGAGGACGACCAGCCACACUGGGACUGAGACACGGCCCAGACUCCUACGGGAGGCAGCAGUGGGGAAUUUUGGACAAUGGGCGCAAGCCUGAUCCAGCCAUUCCGCGUGCAGGACGAAGGCCUUCGGGUUGUAAACUGCUUUUGUAUGGAACGAAAAGGCUCUGGCUAAUACCUGGGGCUCAUGACGGUACCGUAAGAAUAAGCACCGGCUAACUACGUG
Molecule: ribosomal RNA, 484 nt
Filed under: uncultured bacterium
Lineage: Bacteria
Description: partial 16S ribosomal RNA
Rfam family: Bacterial small subunit ribosomal RNA
Source: RNAcentral